UUAAUUUGAGAGUUUGAUCCUGGCUCAGGACGAACGCUGGCGGCGUGCCUAAUACAUGCAAGUCGAACGAACUCUGGUAUUGAUUGGUGCUUGCAUCAUGAUUUACAUUUGAGUGAGUGGCGAACUGGUGAGUAACACGUGGGAAACCUGCCCAGAAGCGGGGGAUAACACCUGGAAACAGAUGCUAAUACCGCAUAACAACUUGGACCGCAUGGUCUGAGUUUGAAAGAUGGCUUCGGCUAUCACUUUUGGAUGGUCCCGCGGCGUAUUAGCUAGAUGGUGAGGUAACGGCUCACCAUGGCAAUGAUACGUAGCCGACCUGAGAGGGUAAUCGGCCACAUUGGGACUGAGACACGGCCCAAACUCCUACGGGAGGCAGCAGUAGGGAAUCUUCCACAAUGGACGAAAGUCUGAUGGAGCAACGCCGCGUGAGUGAAGAAGGGUUUCGGCUCGUAAAACUCUGUUGUUAAAGAAGAACAUAUCUGAGAGUAACUGUUCAGGUAUUGACGGUAUUUAACCAGAAAGCCACGGCUAACUACGUGCCAGCAGCCGCGGUAAUACGUAGGUGGCAAGCGUUGUCCGGAUUUAUUGGGCGUAAAGCGAGCGUAGGCGGUUUUUUAAGUCUGAUGUGAAAGCCUUCGGCUCAACCGAAGAAGUGCAUCGGAAACUGGGAAACUUGAGUGCAGAAGAGGACAGUGGAACUCCAUGUGUAGCGGUGAAAUGCGUAGAUAUAUGGAAGAACACCAGUGGCGAAGGCGGCUGUCUGGUCUGUAACUGACGCUGAGGCUCGAAAGUAUGGGUAGCAAACAGGAUUAGAUACCCUGGUAGUCCAUACCGUAAACGAUGAAUGCUAAGUGUUGGAGGGUUUCCGCCCUUCAGUGCUGCAGCUAACGCAUUAAGCAUUCCGCCUGGGGAGUACGGCCGCAAGGCUGAAACUCAAAGGAAUUGACGGGGGCCCGCACAAGCGGUGGAGCAUGUGGUUUAAUUCGAAGCUACGCGAAGAACCUUACCAGGUCUUGACAUACUAUGCAAAUCUAAGAGAUUAGACGUUCCCUUCGGGGACAUGGAUACAGGUGGUGCAUGGUUGUCGUCAGCUCGUGUCGUGAGAUGUUGGGUUAAGUCCCGCAACGAGCGCAACCCUUAUUAUCAGUUGCCAGCAUUAAGUUGGGCACUCUGGUGAGACUGCCGGUGACAAACCGGAGGAAGGUGGGGAUGACGUCAAAUCAUCAUGCCCCUUAUGACCUGGGCUACACACGUGCUACAAUGGAUGGUACAACGAGUUGCGAACUCGCGAGAGUAAGCUAAUCUCUUAAAGCCAUUCUCAGUUCGGAUUGUAGGCUGCAACUCGCCUACAUGAAGUCGGAAUCGCUAGUAAUCGCGGAUCAGCAUGCCGCGGUGAAUACGUUCCCGGGCCUUGUACACACCGCCCGUCACACCAUGAGAGUUUGUAACACCCAAAGUCGGUGGGGUAACCUUUUAGGAACCAGCCGCCUAAGGUGGGACAGAUGAUUAGGGUGAAGUCGUAACAAGGUAGCCGUAGGAGAACCUGCGGCUGGAUCACCUCCUUUCUAAGGAA
RNAcentral lists this ribosomal RNA (1576 nucleotides) under Lactiplantibacillus plantarum. RNAcentral describes it as "Lactobacillus plantarum 16S ribosomal RNA". It matches the Rfam family "Bacterial small subunit ribosomal RNA". The record is from RNAcentral. Lineage: Bacteria; Bacillati; Bacillota; Bacilli; Lactobacillales; Lactobacillaceae.